RNAcentral lists this ribosomal RNA (274 nucleotides) under uncultured bacterium. Its description in RNAcentral is "partial 16S ribosomal RNA". It matches the Rfam family "Bacterial small subunit ribosomal RNA", at positions 523 to 796 of the family's 1533-position model. The record is from RNAcentral.
AUACGGAGGGUGCAAGCGUUACUCGGAAUCACUGGGCGUAAAGCGCGCGCAGGCGGGCUGAUAAGUUGGAUGUGAAAGCCUACGGCUCAACCGUAGAACUGCAUCCAAAACUGUCAGUCUAGAGUGUGGGAGAGGAAGAUGGAAUUAGUUGUGUAGGGGUAAAAUCCGUAGAGGUAACUAGGAAUACCAAAAGCGAAGGCAAUCUUCUGGAACACUACUGACGCUGAGGCGCGAAGGCGUGGGGAGCAAGCAGGAUUAGAAACCCCGGUAGUCC